RNAcentral lists this ribosomal RNA (301 nucleotides) under uncultured bacterium. Its description in RNAcentral is "partial 16S ribosomal RNA". It matches the Rfam family "Bacterial small subunit ribosomal RNA", at positions 509 to 807 of the family's 1533-position model. The record is from RNAcentral.
CAGUCGCCACGGUAAUACGAAGGGUGCAAGCGUUACUCGGAAUUACUGGGCGUAAAGCGUGCGCAGGCGGUUAUAUAAGACAGAUGUGAAAUCCCCGGGCUCAACCUGGGAACUGCAUUUGUGACUGUAUAGCUAGAGUACGGCAGAGGGGGAUGGAAUUCCGCGUGUAGCAGUGAAAUGCGUAGAUAUGCGGAGGAACACCGAUGGCGAAGGCAAUCCCCUGGGCCUGUACUGACGCUCAUGCACGAAAGCGUGGGGAGCAAACAGGAUUAGAUACCCGUGUAGUCCCUGUCUCUUAUAC